GUUGAAGCCCUUUCCUCUGAUUUAUGUUUCCCUCUCCAGACAUGAGAUCCAAAUUGAGUCACUGGGGUCUACCAGAGACAUGAUUCCUCCAAAUUGAGUCACUGGGGACAGAGGCUGGUGUGCAACCCUUAUGGAUGCCAAAUUCUUGAACUACAAAAGGAGACAUGAAACGCAGAACCCAAAAGGACUAAGGUGGGGCAUGCCCUAAGAGGAGGUGGAGAAGUUGGAGAUUAAAUAGCUGCUGCUGUUUAAAGUGGUGAGUGCCAUCCAUGCCAUUCUGCUGUGCAGGGUCAUUAGCCUGGGAGAUGUGGACCCCAUUGUCGCUGGCUUUGCUGCCCUAGGAUUCCCCAACUGCUGGGAAGGAGGCAUUGAUGGCACCUACAUCCCAACCCAGACCCCCGAUCACUGGGCCUCCAAUUACACCAAUUGGAAGGGGUACUUUUUAAUGGUCCUGCAGGCCCAUGUGUACCACUGGGGCCGAUUCACCAAUAUCAACAUUGAACUCCGGCCUGUACCAGAAGAUGCACGCCAGCACUUUUUCCCCCCAACUGCACCAUCAGAGUUGGGGAUAUAGACAUGCCCAUGUGCAUCGUGGACAAUGCAAGCUACCCCUUGCUCCCCUGGCUGAUGAAGCCUUACAGGGGACACCUGAACCCCACCAAUGAAUGGUUCAAUGCCAGGCUCAGCAGGUGCUGCAUCAUGGUGGAAGGUACCUUUGAACAUCUCAAAGGGAGUUUCUGGUGUCUCUUCACCCUCACCCUCCUGGACCUUGGUGACUGGAACAUCUUCCAGGUGGUGGCAGCCUGCUGUGUCCUUCACAACCUGAGUGAGAACAAGGGGGAGACAUUCCUGCCAGAGUGGGGGGCAGAGGCCGAAUGGCUCAGGACUUUUUAGCAGCCACACACUGCUGCCAUCUAGCAAGUCCCUCAGGGGCCUGUGCACAUCUAGGCGACCCCAAGGGAGAGUUUCAGACAAGGCCAGCUGUGAAACUCUCCUCUGGACCUCCCCACAAGGAGCCUUUGAAUAGUUCCUGUGUGCCUUUCCUCUCUCACCCUACCCUUCCCCUGACCUAUCUUCUCCGUUCCCCGCUCUCCUGCAGACCAAAUA
Pelodiscus sinensis (Chinese soft-shelled turtle) is the source of this 1107-nucleotide non-coding RNA. Lineage: Eukaryota; Metazoa; Chordata; Testudines; Trionychidae. The record is from RefSeq and is a predicted model, not a curated record.